Molecule: ribosomal RNA, 463 nt
Filed under: uncultured bacterium
Lineage: Bacteria
Description: partial 16S ribosomal RNA
Rfam family: Bacterial small subunit ribosomal RNA
Source: RNAcentral
GAUGAACGCUGACAGAAUGCUUAACACAUGCAAGUCUUUGGUGAAGCUGUGCUUGCACAGCCUAGCCAAGGCGGACGGGUGAGUAACGCGUAAGGAACUUGCCCUGCAGUCAGGGAUAACAGACGGAAACGACUGAUAAGACCUGGUAAAGUCAGGCGGACUCAUGUCCAGCCUGAUGAAAAGAGAUGCUGCAGGAGAGCCUUGCGUCCUAUUAGCUUGUUGGUGGGGUAACGGCCCACCAAGGCAAUGAUAGGUAGCCGGCCUGAGAGGGUGGACGGCCACAAGGGGACUGAGAUACGGCCCUGACUCCUACGGGAGGCAGCAGUGGAGAAUAUUGGACAAUGGGGGCAACGCUGAUGCAGCAAUUCUGUGUGCACGAUGAAGGUUUUCGGAUUGUAAAGUGCUUUCAGCAGGGAAGAAAAAAAUGACGGUACCUGCAGAAGAAGCGACGGCUAAAUACGUG